CGAAAGCCUGACGGAGCAAUACCGCGUGAGGGAGGAAGGCUCUUGGGUUGUAAACCUCUUUUCUCAGGGAAGAAGUUCUGACGGUACCUGAGGAAUCAGCAUCGGCUAACUCCGUGCCAGCAGCCGCGGUAAUACGGAGGAUGCAAGCGUUAUCCGGAAUGAUUGGGCGUAAAGCGUCCGCAGGUGGCACUCCAAGUCUGCUGUCAAAGGUCGGGGCUCAACUCCGAACAGGCAGUGGAAACUGGAGAGCUAGAGUGCGGUAGGGGCAGAGGGAAUUCCCGGUGUAGCGGUGAAAUGCGUAGAGAUCGGGAAGAACACCAGUGGCGAAAGCGCUCUGCUAGGCCGCAACUGACACUCAGGGACGAAAGCUAGGGGAGCGAAUGGGAUUAGAUACCCCAGUAGUCCUAGCCGUAAACGAUGGAUACUAGGCGUGGCAUGUAUCGACCCGUGCCGUGCCGGAGCUAACGCGUUAAGUAUCCCGCCUGGGGAGUACGCGCGCAAGCGUGAAACUCAAAGGAAUUGACGGGGGCCCGCACAAGCGGUGGAGUAUGUGGUUUAAUUCGAUGCAACGCGAAGAACCUUACCAGGGCUUGACAUGUCGCGAACCCCGGCGAAAGUUGGGGGUGCCUUCGGGAGCGCGAACACAGGUGGUGCAUGGCUGUCGUCAGCUCGUGUCGUGAGAUGUUGGGUUAAGUCCCGCAACGAGCGCAACCCUCGUGCUUAGUUGCCAGCAUUAAGUUGGGCACUCUAAGCAGACUGCCGGUGACAAACCGGAGGAAGGUGGGGAUGACGUCAAGUCAGCAUGCCCCUUACGUCCUGGGCUACACACGUACUACAAUGCUGCGGACAAAGGGCAGCAAGCUAGCGAUAGCAAGCUAAUCCCAGAAACCGUGGCUCAGUUCAGAUUGCAGGCUGCAACUCGCCUGCAUGAAGGCGGAAUCGCUAGUAAUCGCCGGUCAGCCAUACGGCGGUGAAUACGUCCCCGGGCCUUGUACACACCGCCCGUCACACCAUGGAAGCUGGCUAUGCCCGAAGUCGUUACCCUAACCGCAAGGAGGGGGAUGCCGAAGGCAGAGCUGGUGACUGGGGUGAAGUCGUAACAAGGUAGCCGUACCGGAAGGUGUGGCUGGAUCACCUCCUUUUCAGGGAGACCAACCUAGCUCAAUUCAAGCAGCAAAAUAAAGAAUUGAGACAGGUCAUCCCAAGGUCGUGCAAGGGCAAAAAGUAGUGCGGCUUUCAAACUGUAAUCUGGUUCGCAGCAGUGUGGUGGUAGGGGCUAUUAGCUCAGGUGGUUAGAGCGCACCCCUGAUAAGGGUGAGGUCCCUGGUUCGAGUCCAGGAUGGCCCACCUAAGACAGUAACAAUGAGUUAGAAGUUUUAAAUCUGUUGCUUGUGACCACAAGUAGCGACACAGAUGCUAAGAUAGAGAAGUUUGGAAAUUUAAGCUACAGCACCAUGACCCAGGUGAAGAAACCAAGAGGGUUAGACUGCUGGAGCUAGAUCCAGCCAGAACCUUGAAAACUGCAUAGCGAUUGACGUGCAAAGUAUAGCAGGUAAGAAGUAACUGGAAGCAAUUCCAGCGUAAAUCUUGCAGCAAAAAACACCAAUGAAGUGGUCAAGCUAAGAAGGGCUGAUGGUGGAUACCUAGGCACACAGAGGCGAAGAAGGACGUGGCGACCGACGAAAAACUCCGGGGAGCUGGAAGCAAGCAUUGAGCCGGAGGUGUCCGAAUGGGGCAACCCUUUGUACAGCCUGUUGAAUCCAUAGACAGGUAUGAGCCAACCCAGCGAACUGAAACAUCUUAGUAGCUGGAGGAACAGAAAGAAAACUCGAUUCCCCAAGUAGUGGUGAGCGAACGGGGAAAAGCCUAAACCAGUUGAUUUUUCAACUGGGGUAGUGGGACAGCAACGUGGAAUCGCGGAAGCUAGACGAAGCAGCUAAAUCCUGCACCAGAGAAGGUGAAAGUCCUGUAGUCAAAAGUGGAAGGAUACUAGCUGGAUCCCGAGUAGCAUGGGGCACGAGAAAUCCCGUGUGAAUCAGCGAGGACCACCUCGUAAGGCUAAAUACUACUGUGUGACCGAUAGCGAACCAGUACCGCGAGGGAAAGGUGAAAAGAACCCCAGCAAGGGGAGUGAAAUAGAACAUGAAACCAUCAGCCUACAAGCAGUGGAAGGACGACUCAACGUCUGACCGCGUGCCUGUUGAAGAAUGAGCCGGCGAGUUAUAAGCACUGGUAGGUUAGGGUGAGAAGACCGUAGCCGCAGCGAAAGCGAGUCUGAAGUGGGCGCAACAUCAGUGGUUAUAGACCCGAACCCGGGUGAUCUAACCAUGUCCAGGAUGAAGCUUGGGUAACACCAAGUGGAGGUCCGCACCGACCGAUGUUGAAAAAUCGGCGGAUGAGGUGUGGUUAGGGGUGAAAUGCCAAUCGAACCCGGAGCUAGCUGGUUCUCCCCGAAAUGUGUUGAGGCGCAGCGGUUGUGAUUAUAGCUUGGGGGUAAAGCACUGUUUCGGUGCGGGCUGCGGUAAGCGGUACCAAAUCGAGAUAAACUCUGAAUACCAGGCGGACACACAACUAGUGAGACGGUGGGGGAUAAGCUUCAUCGUCAAGAGGGAAACAGCCCAGACCACCAGCUAAGGUCCCAAAAUUGGCACUAAGUGAUUAAGGAGGUAGGAGUGCACAGACAACCAGGAGGUUUGCCUAGAAGCAGCCAUCCUUGAAAGAGUGCGUAAUAGCUCACUGGUCAAGCGCUCCUGCGCCGAAAAUGAACGGGGCUAAGUGCCAUACCGAAGCUGUGGGAUAUGCAAAUAUCGGUAGGGGAGCGUUCCGCGAUAGGGAGAAGCACUAGCGGCAAGCAGGUGUGGACGAAGCGGAAGCGAGAAUGUCGGCUUGAGUAGCGAAAACAUUGGUGAGAAUCCAAUGCCCCGAAACCCUAAGGGUUCCUCCGGCAGGUUCGUCCGCGGAGGGUUAGUCAGGACCUAAGGCGAGGCCAAACGGCGUAGUCGAUGGACAACGGGCGAACAAUCCCGUACUGAUGUUGAUUGGUGCAGAGGGACGGAGAAGGCAAAGCCAGCCGGAUGUUGGUUACCGGUUGAACUGACCGAGGCGAAGAGCGGUGGCGAAAACGCCGCGAGCUGAGGCAGGAGUACGAGGUGAUACGUCACCGAAGUGGUGUAGUCCGGCUCCCAAGAAAAGCUUUAAGUACCAUAAAUCAACAUUACCUGUACCCGAAACCGACACAGGUAGGGAGGUUGAGAAUACCAAGGGGCGCGAGAUAACUCUCUCUAAGGAACUCGGCAAAAUGGCCCCGUAACUUCGGAAGAAGGGGUGCCUACGAAAGUAGGUCGCAGUGAAGAGAUCCAGGCGACUGUUUACCAAAAACACAGGUCUCCGCUAAGUCGAAUGACGAUGUAUGGGGGCUGACGCCUGCCCAGUGCCGGAAGGUUAAGGAAGUCGGUCAGGGGGCAACCCUAAAGCUGGCGACCGAAGCCCCGGUGAACGGCGGCCGUAACUAUAACGGUCCUAAGGUAGCGAAAUUCCUUGUCGGGUAAGUUCCGACCCGCACGAAAGGCGUAACGAUCUGGAUGGUGUCUCAGAGAGAGACUCGGCGAAAUAGGAAUGUCUGUGAAGAUACGGACUACCUGCACCUGGACAGAAAGACCCUAUGAAGCUUUACUGUAGCCUGGAAUGGUGUCCGGGCUUCGCUUGCGCAGGAUAGGUGGGAGGCGUAGAAGCUGCCCUUGUGGGGGCAGUGGAGCCAACGGUGAGAUACCACUCUGGCGAAGCUAGGAUUCUAACCUGUAGCCGUGAGCCGGCGCGGGAACAGUUUCAGGUGGGCGGUUUGACUGGGGCGGUCGCCUCCUAAAUGGUAACGGAGGCGCGCAAAGGUUCCCUCAGGCUGGUUGGAAAUCAGCCAGAGAGUGUAAAGGCAAAAGGGAGCUUGACUGCGAGAGUUACAACUCGAGCAGGGUGGAAACACGGCCUUAGUGAUCCGACGGUUCUGAGUGGAAGGGCCGUCGCUCAACGGAUAAAAGUUACUCUAGGGAUAACAGGCUGAUCUCCGCCAAGAGUUCACAUCGACGCGGAGGUUUGGCACCUCGAUGUCGGCUCAUCGCAACCUGGGG
Molecule: small RNA, 4121 nt
Filed under: uncultured Chroococcidiopsis sp.
Lineage: Bacteria; Bacillati; Cyanobacteriota; Cyanophyceae; Chroococcidiopsidales; Chroococcidiopsidaceae
Description: bacterial LSU rRNA
Rfam family: Bacterial large subunit ribosomal RNA (bases 1613-4121)
Source: RNAcentral